This 501-nucleotide ribosomal RNA is filed under the name uncultured bacterium. RNAcentral describes it as "partial 16S ribosomal RNA". It matches the Rfam family "Bacterial small subunit ribosomal RNA", at positions 30 to 523 of the family's 1533-position model. The record is from RNAcentral.
AUUGAACGCUGGCGGCAGGCUUAACACAUGCAAGUCGAGCGGGGGAAGGUAGCUUGCUACCUAACCUAGCGGCGGACGGGUGAGUAAUGCUUAGGAAUCUGCCUAUUAGUGGGGGACAACAUUUCGAAAGGGAUGCUAAUACCGCAUACGCCCUAAGGGGGAAAGCAGGGGAUCUUCGGACCUUGCGCUAAUAGAUGAGCCUAAGUCGGAUUAGCUAGUUGGUGGGGUAAAGGCCUACCAAGGCGACGAUCUGUAGCGGGUCUGAGAGGAUGAUCCGCCACACUGGGACUGAGACACGGCCCAGACUCCUACGGGAGGCAGCAGUGGGGAGUAUUGGACAAUGGGGGGAACCCUGAUCCAGCCAUGCCGCGUGUGUGAAGAAGGCCUUUUGGUUGUAAAGCACUUUAAGCGAGGAGGAGGCUACCGAGAUUAAUACUCUUGGAUAGUGGACGUUGCUCGCAGAAUAAGCACCGGCUAACUCUGUGCCAGCCGCCGCCGUAA